Molecule: small RNA, 117 nt
Filed under: Arabidopsis thaliana (thale cress)
Lineage: Eukaryota; Viridiplantae; Streptophyta; Magnoliopsida; Brassicales; Brassicaceae
Description: ATSL294580
Source: RNAcentral
UCUUCUUCUUCCUCUAAACCUGUGAAAAACUUUGGAUCAAUCAACAAUGGCGGAUCUCUCUCUUCCUCCCGAUUCCCUCUUCCUCGGCUUCGACAGCUCUACCCAGUACGUCCCCCU